This 305-nucleotide ribosomal RNA is filed under the name uncultured bacterium. Its description in RNAcentral is "bacterial SSU rRNA". It matches the Rfam family "Bacterial small subunit ribosomal RNA", at positions 337 to 658 of the family's 1533-position model. The record is from RNAcentral.
UCCUACGGGGCGCAGCAGUGGGGAAUAUUGCACAAUGGGGGAAACCCUGAUGCAGCGACGCCGCGUGAAGGAAGAAGUAUCUCGGUAUGUAAACUUCUAUCAGCAGGGAAGAAAACAGACGGUACCUGACUAAGAAGCCCCGGCUAACUACGUGCCAGCAGCCGCGGUAAUACGUAGGGGGCAAGCGUUAUCCGGAUUUACUGGGUGUAAAGGGUGCGUAGGCGGCUUGGCAAGUCAGUAGUGAAAUCCAUGGGCUUAACCCAUGAACUGCUAUUGAAACUGUCGAGCUUGAGUGAAGUAGAGGU